UACGUAGGAUGCGAGCGUUGUCCGGAAUUAUUGGGCGUAAAGAGAACGUAGGCGGUUUGUCAAGUUUGAUCUUAAAGACCGGGGCUUAACUCCGGGAGUGGAUCGAAAACUGGCAGACUAGAGGACGUCAGAGGAAAGUGGAAUUCCCAGUGUAGCGGUGAAAUGCGUAGAUAUUGGGAGGAACACCAGUGGCGAAAGCGACUUUCUGGGACGUUCCUGACGCUGAGGUUCGAAAGCUCGGGGAGCAAACAGG
This 253-nucleotide ribosomal RNA is filed under the name uncultured bacterium. RNAcentral's name for it is "partial 16S ribosomal RNA". It matches the Rfam family "Bacterial small subunit ribosomal RNA", at positions 524 to 776 of the family's 1533-position model. The record is from RNAcentral.